RNAcentral lists this ribosomal RNA (253 nucleotides) under uncultured bacterium. RNAcentral describes it as "partial 16S ribosomal RNA". It matches the Rfam family "Bacterial small subunit ribosomal RNA", at positions 524 to 776 of the family's 1533-position model. The record is from RNAcentral.
UACGGAGGGUGCAAGCGUUAUCCGGAUUCACUGGGUUUAAAGGGUGCGUAGGUGGGUUUGUAAGUCAGCGGUGAAAUCUUCGAGCUUAACUCGGAAACUGCCAUUGAUACUAUAGAUCUUGAAUAUUCUGGAGGUGAGCGGAAUAUGUCAUGUAGCGGUGAAAUGCUUAGAUAUGACAUAGAACACCAAUUGCGAAGGCAGCUCACUACGGAAUUAUUGACACUGAGGCACGAAAGCGUGGGGAUCAAACAGG